This 789-nucleotide ribosomal RNA is filed under the name uncultured bacterium. RNAcentral's name for it is "bacterial SSU rRNA". It matches the Rfam family "Bacterial small subunit ribosomal RNA", at positions 28 to 924 of the family's 1533-position model. The record is from RNAcentral.
GACGAACGCUGGCGGCGUGCUUAACACAUGCAAGUCGAACGGAGUGGCGAACGGGUGAGUAACGCGUGGGCAACCUGCCCUCCAGUUGGGGACAACAUUCCGAAAGGGAUGCUAAUACCGAAUGCGGAAGAUGGGCCCGCGUCUGAUUAGCUAGUUGGUGGGGUAACGGCUCACCAAGGCGAUGAUCAGUAGCCGGUCUGAGAGGAUGAACGGCCACAUUGGGACUGAGACACGGCCCAAACUCCUACGGGAGGCAGCAGUGGGGAAUCUUCCGCAAUGGACGAAAGUCUGACGGAGCAACGCCGCGUGAGUGAUGAAGGUCUUCGGAUUGUAAAACUCUGUUGUUAGGGACGCGGUACCUAACGAGGAAGCCACGGCUAACUACGUGCCAGCAGCCGCGGUAAUACGUAGGUGGCAAGCGUUGUCCGGAAUUAUUGGGCGUAAAGAGCAUGUAGGCGGGCUUUUAAGUCUGACGUGAAAAUGCGGGGCUUAACCCCGUAUGGCGUUGGAUACUGGAAGUCUUGAGUGCAGGAGAGGAAAGGGGAAUUCCCAGUGUAGCGGUGAAAUGCGUAGAUAUUGGGAGGAACACCAGUGGCGAAGGCGCCUUUCUGGACUGUGUCUGACGCUGAGAUGCGAAGCCAGGGUAGCAAACGGGAUUAGAUACCCCGGUAGUCCUGGCCGUAAACGAUGGAUACUAGGUGUAGGACUGUGCCGGAGUUAACGCAAUAAGUAUCCCGCCUGGGGACUACGAUCGCAAGAUUGCAACUCAAAUGAAUUGACGGAUCCCGC